GACGAACGCUGGCGGCGGGCUUAACACAUGCAAGUCGAACGGAAAGGCCCUGCUUUUGUGGUGUUCUCGAUUGGCGAACGGGUGAGUAACACGUGAGUAACCUGCCCUUGACUUUGGGAUAACUUCAGGAAACUGGGGCUAAUACCGUAUAGGAUCUCCUGCUGCAGUGUGGGGGUUGGAAAGUUUAGGCUGUUGGGGUUGGACGCGCGGCUGAACAGCUUGUUGGUUGGGGAGUGGCUUACCAAGGCUUUGACGGGUAGCCCGCAUGUGAGGGUGACCGGGCACCUUGGGACUGAGAUACGGCCCAGACUCGUACGGGAGGCAGUAGUCGGGAGCCUUGCACAAUCGGCGCAAGUCUGAUGCAGAAACGCCGGGUGCGGAAAGACCGUCUUCGGGUAGUAAAAAGCUUUCGCCUGUGACGCAGCGGGAGUGACGGUACUGGGUAAAGAAGCACCGGCUAACUACGUG
Molecule: ribosomal RNA, 468 nt
Filed under: uncultured bacterium
Lineage: Bacteria
Description: partial 16S ribosomal RNA
Rfam family: Bacterial small subunit ribosomal RNA
Source: RNAcentral